This is an RNA transcript of Nomascus leucogenys (northern white-cheeked gibbon), 482 nucleotides long. It is a transcript of the gene named interferon-induced transmembrane protein 3 pseudogene, with no coding region annotated. The record is from RefSeq and is a predicted model, not a curated record. NCBI's taxonomy places the organism in Eukaryota, Metazoa, Chordata, Mammalia, Primates, Hylobatidae. The transcript has a single exon.
AUAUAAUCGAACCCGACCACUGCUGGUCUUCGCUGGACACCAUGAACCACACUGUCCAAACCUUCUUCUCUCCUGUCAACAGCAGCCAGCCCCCCAACUAUGAGAUGCUCAAGGAGGAGCACGAGGUGGCUGUGCCGGGGGCGCCCCACAACCCUGCUCCCCCAACGUCCACCAUGAUCCACAUCCGCAGCGAGACCUCUGUGCCCGACCAUGUUGUCUGGUCCCUGUUCAACACCCUCUUCAUGAACCCCUGCUGCCUGGGCUUCAUAGCAUUCGCCUACUCAGUGAAGUCUAGGGACAGGAAGAUGGUUGGCGACCUGACCAGGGCCCAGGCCUAUGCCUCCACUGCCAAGUGCCUGAACAUCUGGGCCCUGAUUUUGGGCAUCCUCAUGACCAUUCUGCUCAUUAUCAUGCCAGUGUUCAUCAUCCAAGCCCAUCGAUAGAUCAGGAGGCAUCAUUGAGGCCAGGAGCUCUGCCCAUGA